CCUACGGGUGGCAGCAGUGGGGAAUAUUGGGCAAUUGGCGCAAGCCUGACCCAGCAACGCCGCGUGAAGGAAGAAGGCUUUCGGGUUGUAAACUCCUUUUAGCAGGGACGAAGCACGUGACGGUACCUGAUGAAUAAGCCACGGCUAACUACGUGCCAGCACACGCGGUAAUACGUAGGUGGCAAGCGUUAUCCGACUUUACUGGGUGUAAAGAGCGUGUAGGCGGGAGGGCAAGUCAGAUGUGAAAACUAUGGGAUCAACCCAUAGACUGCAUUUGAAACUGGACAUCUUGCGCGCUGGAGAGGCAAUCGGAAUUCCGGGUGUAGCGGUGAAAUGCGUAGAUAUACGGAGGAACACCAGUGGCGAAGGCGGAUUGCUGGACAAUAACUGACGCUGAGGCACGAAAGCGUAGGGAGCAAACGGGAUUAGAUACCCCUGUAGUC
This 443-nucleotide ribosomal RNA is filed under the name uncultured bacterium. RNAcentral's name for it is "partial 16S ribosomal RNA". It matches the Rfam family "Bacterial small subunit ribosomal RNA", at positions 338 to 795 of the family's 1533-position model. The record is from RNAcentral.